GAUCAAAUGAUGAAUUCCACGGCUCCAAAACUGAAGAACAUGCCUCUAUUUGGAUAUAAGGCUCUUAAGAGUUCAUCAAUACUUCAUUUGAGAGUUGGAGCAGUACCUUGUAGCCUGCCUGUGCAUCUUGUCCCUAGGAACAUCGUAUUUUACUAGUCAUGUCCACAGCUCUCUGGCUCACACCCCUUUGGGUAUCUCUAAAAACUAAUUGUUAUGAUACCUCUUCUCUAAAAGAGAUUUUCUGAAUGUAUGGCUUUCAAACUCCAGGUGGAAUGGACUGUUUUUUGGUUGGUGUGAAGGCUGGCUCGGGGAGGCCCUGUAAGUUUAUGCAUUCAAUUCCAGCAUUUCAAGUUGUGAAGGCGCAGUUGGCUGGAAGGCAGCCCAGGCAAAUGGAA
This is a long non-coding RNA of Marmota flaviventris (yellow-bellied marmot), 395 nucleotides long. RefSeq lists it as uncharacterized. The record is from RefSeq and is a predicted model, not a curated record. Lineage: Eukaryota; Metazoa; Chordata; Mammalia; Rodentia; Sciuridae.